UGGGGAAUAUUGCACAAUGGGCGCAAGCCUGAUGCAGCCAUGCCGCGUGUGUGAAGAAGGCCUUCGGGUUGUAAAGCACUUUCAGCGGGGAGGAAGGCGUUAAGGUUAAUAACCUUGGCGAUUGACGUUACCCGCAGAAGAAGCACCGGCUAACUCCGUGCCAGCAGCCGCGGUAAUACGGAGGGUGCAAGCGUUAAUCGGAAUUACUGGGCGUAAAGCGCACGCAGGCGGUCUGUCAAGUCGGAUGUGAAAUCCCCGGGCUCAACCUGGGAAAUGCAUUCGAAACUGGCAGGCUAGAGUCUUGUAGAGGGGGGUAGAAUUCCAGGUGUAGCGGUGAAAUGCGUAGAGAUCUGGAGGAAUACCGGUGGCGAAGGCGGCCCCCUGGACAAAGACUGACGCUCAGGUGCGAAAGCGUGGGGAGCGAACAGG
Molecule: ribosomal RNA, 429 nt
Filed under: Chloroflexota bacterium
Lineage: Bacteria; Bacillati; Chloroflexota
Description: Chloroflexi bacterium partial 16S ribosomal RNA
Rfam family: Bacterial small subunit ribosomal RNA
Source: RNAcentral